AUGUAAAAUACCAAUGAAAAAUGGCUCAUUGACUUCACGUAACUCCAAACUAUUUGACCAGAGGCUAUAGUAUUAGUAUUAGUCCGUGGGAGACGUUCUCAAAGAAUCCAUAUAAUUACAUAUAAUUACAACCAUGUCAGUUUGUCCGAUGACUUGCGAGCGCCUGUAAAUGGGGACGGCUGUAAUUCCUAGUUGUUACUGUACUUGUUAUAUCCAUUGAAUCAAAGCUGCGAUUCCAAACAUUCACUACUUCAGUUCACAUCAUUGAGUUGUAUAAAGACAUGAAAUGAAGGACAUUUAGUCACAGUCCGAAGGUGCAGCCCUGCCUGUACGUUGGUGCGUCGUACCUUCAAGAUGUCAAUUGUCUCGAUCUGGUGAAUGUCGUCAUCCUUUGUGUUCGUGUCGAUCUUGAACAUGCGGUGGAUGAGGGGCAGUUUGCAGAGGGGCCCCAGGUUCAGCUCCUCAUAGCGCUUCUUGUCCUUCAGUCCAGCCAGGCACUGGCCCAGCUCAUACAAGGUGCAGAUGGAUGUGACUGCUGCAGUAGACUGACACAAGGAGAGGCAAUUCUUUGAUAGGUGACACACAUCCACUUAAAAACCAGUAUUAGGAAACGCAUGUGUGCCAACCUCUAUGAACAUGUUGAUCUCUCUCAUUAGGUAUUGAAGGUCUUUUAAAGAGGGGAUUUUCCAUCGUUUGAUCCCGUAUGCCUCCAGAGAGGGAAUCUGCAUCAGUCUGCACACCUCGCAUAUCACCUGGACGUAGCGAGGACGAUGAGGAAAUGAGACACAGUGCAUUAGUCUGUGUAGGAAACGUGAAGCUAUACGGGACAUUUUAGGAGCUGAAAGUUCCAAUGUGACCAGAACUGGUAAUCAGGUAACACAACAGCAAAGGCCAGAGAGGAAGGGACUGCUGUGCUAAACAAUACACAACUUCAUUGACAUUCAGGAGGAAAAUCUGAAGUUACUUAUAAAUAUGUGGCCCGGCGCAGAGACUUCCUUCCUUGAAGUUGCCAGGCAACCAAUAAAGACAUCUGAAUCUAGUCAUUUAUGAUUGUAGGAGCAGAAUGGAUCAACCGACUGACCUUUUCUUCGGUCACCAGCUCUCCCUGUGCAGCGAUGUCUCGAAUCACAUCUUGCGCCAGACUACUGACAGAAUCCUGAUCCAAGACUCUGUUCCUCCUGGUCCCACGCGCAUUCUCCUCCAUGGCCUCUGCGGCCCGCAUGUUGGCGCCGUGGACCUCUCUCAGCUGGGCGUGAUAAGCUUCUCGAAAGAAGUUGGGUGCAUCUCUUAUUUUGUUUUUCUUCUCUUUGGUCGAGGAGACGUUCGCCCCGAGCACUGGGAAGUUGGCGUCAGAGAGGAAGUUGGUCACGAUGGACUGUCCCAGCUUUUCUUCUUUAGCGUCUCUCUCAAGAUCCAGCGCCGCUGUGGAAGGACGGGUCAACGCAUACUUGGUUUUAGAAGUACGGAGGAGUAAAUGUGUGUUUUAAGGCAUGAAGGUAAUGGUGUCAUGGUUUGGCUACCUGCAGUUGGCUGGUUGGCGUUUGGUUUGUUCUUCACCUGGAACACAUAAAGAAAUAUGUGCUGGUUUACGUAGAGUAAGAAGGUAGACAGGGACAGACGGUUAAGAUAGACAAAGACAAGCUAUUAUAUAAGCCUGCAAGUUUUCUUUUUUAUUGAGUCCCAAUGAGAUUAGACAUAGGAUUGUAGUAUUUUGAAGGCCAAAAGAGAGUAUUUUCAUCUAGUCCCGUUUACGUAGUACCUGCCAAAUGUGUUUUAAUCCACAACUGAAGGAAAAGCUAAAAAAGACACAACAGCGAGGAAUGUUUCCAAAAGCAUUUGACAGCUUCUGUCGGACAUAAAAAUAAGGGUUUUUUGCUAACAAGCUAGCGGCAGCCCAAUUAGCAUUGUUGAUUCUUAAUGUUUCAACUUUUUAAUUCAGGAUUUAGCAGAACAUUGGGAUGAAAGACGGAGCGUCUGGCUCGUACCUACCUGCCGGCAAUCAAUGUGCUCUGUUAUACAUUAGAAACCAAAGAGACAUCAGAAUACCGCUGUGGUGCAUUUGUCUUCAGAACUGACCAACGUCUCUGCUGGCGUGGACGCAGCGGCCGGCGGGUGGACGGGGAGACAGUGGGCGGCGGGAGGCACAUGAUGAGCGCUCGCGUCCCGUUCAGGCGCCGAGCAGCUCGGGCCAGCACGACCCGUCCUACCGCGCGCCCUCCUCCUCCUCGGCGGAGUUGCGGGCCCGUUGUCCUCGGUGGCUGUUCCCGGCGUCCCAGCUGCCGGCUGAUUGUGAGGCUGGUGGAUCUUAUGGAACACCACGUCCUCCCUCACCACUAGAUGUUCACUCAAAGAUUCCACCAGGCAGGAAAUCGUUUUGAAGCCCAAGGAAGAUAAAGUCAGGUUCCUGCGGUAUGUCUGGUUGUAGAACACAGCUAACUUUUUGAGGGGGAUCCCAGCUGGGUUCUCCUUCAGCAGGGCCAGCACAUCCUCCAGGACCUGCUCCAUUUCAACUGACGCCAGACGGAGAAAAGACACACAGGUAUUGAACAGAGAAUGACCCUUACUGGUAGAGAGAGGAAGGAAGAGGCAGGCAAUGCUAACCAAGACCAAGCAGCGGACCCCCCACAGAGGCACAGCCAACCAGUGGUUUGUCUAUGAUCACAGACACAUUCACAACACAUGCACAGGCUCACGGAUGAAGUGAGACAGGGAUCAGGUCUUACCUAUUCGCUCAAAGGACUCGGCUGUGGAUCAUCUCCACAGAAGUGGAACCGCUUGUUUAGACCGGCACCCUUCCUCCUUCGGCUUUUAAAGCGCCUCCUGCUCCUCCUCCUCCUCGCCUGCUGGGUUUCAUUGUCAGACACAGAAAAACGAAAGCGAAAGUAACCCUUCAGUGUUCCUGGAAAUGGUUAUGCCACACCUCAGACAGACAGAGGACAACAAGCUGCAUAACACCUUUAACCACGUCUAACUUAACUAAUUCAUUUAGGUCUGUUUGUUAAAGCUUAAUGUUGGGGCAUUGACCAUAUGACGGCAAAUUGAGUCAUAAAAGCGCCUCACUAUCAUCCUGCUCGGUUUGCUGUUACAUAAAUAAACAGGGAUUCAAUGGAUGAUCCAAAGUCACGCGUUGGCCCGUCUGGCUGCUUCCUGCCUGCAGACGAGGCACGAUGGCGUGUGUAUAUAUUUAUAUAUAUAUGUGUGUGACAACAGUCGGACUCGUGUGGACGUUGUGUGGGUGAUUCAAGGAGGAAGUUGUGAGUCGCUCCUCCGGGCCGUGUUCACGUACCGUGAGCUUCAGUCCACCUCCUCCCUCCUCUGCGCCGCCGACCAGAGGCCAAGGAAAGGAGACGAGGAGGACAAAGCACGCCGAUCAACAA
This is a long non-coding RNA of Gasterosteus aculeatus aculeatus (three-spined stickleback), 3377 nucleotides long. The record is from Ensembl. NCBI's taxonomy places the organism in Eukaryota, Metazoa, Chordata, Actinopteri, Perciformes, Gasterosteidae.